RNAcentral lists this non-coding RNA (86 nucleotides) under Pseudomonas orientalis. The record is from RNAcentral. Lineage: Bacteria; Pseudomonadati; Pseudomonadota; Gammaproteobacteria; Pseudomonadales; Pseudomonadaceae.
CUUCAUGGCGGCUGUGUUUGGGACGCCUUCGGGCGUGCCGGGUGAUCCCUGCCGGUUGACCAACCUGGACACAGUCCGCCACCCAU